RNAcentral lists this long non-coding RNA (452 nucleotides) under Mytilus galloprovincialis (Mediterranean mussel). Lineage: Eukaryota; Metazoa; Mollusca; Bivalvia; Mytilida; Mytilidae. The record is from RNAcentral.
UUUUCUUUUUCUAUUUGAAAAAAAUAAUAAUAACAUUAAAAAAACUAUGCAUUUUUACAUUUAUAUAAAAGUAUUUCAGAGCAGUUUCUGGGGGCUAAGUCAACAAUUAUGUUUUAGAUCACAAGUCAAAAUUAAGUCACACUUCAUGUCAGUAUGAUAAUGCUUUGAAUAAGAUUGAUUAAAAUGAUACUCUGAAAGAGAUUGUUUGAAGGCAGCAACCAUUUGUUUUCAGGGAGGGGGGAACUAUGGAUUUUUUUCCAGACAAGUUAAAAACAAUUCUUCUCUUUCAAUUUUAGCAUUUCAUUUAAUGGCAGCUGAGGGUAAAACAAACAUUUUUUUUUUCUCAGGGUCAAAAACAAAUUAUUUUUUAUCCAAAAAUUGGAAACAAACUUUUUUUUUCAAAACAAUCAAUAGCCACCACCCCCUACCCCCACCAGAAAAUCAAAUGGUUG